GGGAACAAAAGGUUCUUAAGGGAAGCUGGAAAUUAUAUACAGAAGAUUAAAAUAAUGCGAAGAGUUGCUGUAUCAAAAAAGGGAAAAAUUUGGAUAAGUUAUUAGAAUAGAAAAUAGAAGGGCUGAAGAAAUUGUCUCAAGAGGCAAAACCCAAAAUCAAUCUCAAUAUCUGGAGCAGAAAUUUCAAAUUCCUGAAGAUUUGAUCCAUCAGGGUUUUGAGAAUGAUGAUAAUGGUGCAAAUGAUGAGAAUAAUCAGGGUUUUGAGAAUGGUAAUAUUUAUGAAGCUUCCCUCAUAAAUCCAAUUUCAAGAUUUGAAGCUUGGGGACAAUUCAGAAGCUGGCCAUGUAAAU
Molecule: unclassified non-coding RNA, 350 nt
Filed under: Hevea brasiliensis (rubber tree)
Lineage: Eukaryota; Viridiplantae; Streptophyta; Magnoliopsida; Malpighiales; Euphorbiaceae
Source: RNAcentral